Molecule: ribosomal RNA, 253 nt
Filed under: uncultured bacterium
Lineage: Bacteria
Description: partial 16S ribosomal RNA
Rfam family: Bacterial small subunit ribosomal RNA
Source: RNAcentral
UACGUAGGGGGCAAGCGUUGUCCGGAUUUAUUGGGCGUAAAGAGCGUGUAGGCGGUUUGGUAGGUCCGUUGUGAAAACUCGAGGCUCAACCUCGAGACGCCGAUGGAAACCAUCAGACUAGAGUCCGGAAGAGGAGAGUGGAAUUCCUGGUGUAGCGGUGAAAUGCGCAGAUAUCAGGAGGAACACCCGUGGCGAAAGCGGCUCCCUGGGACGGUACUGACGCUGAGACGCGAAAGCGUGGGGAGCAAACAGG